RNAcentral lists this transfer RNA (63 nucleotides) under Dryadomorpha sp. EMHAU-2015-Zz060407. RNAcentral's name for it is "tRNA-Tyr". The record is from RNAcentral. Lineage: Eukaryota; Metazoa; Arthropoda; Insecta; Hemiptera; Cicadellidae.
ACUAAGGUGUCUGAUUAAAGUAGUAAACUGUAAAUUUACUUAAGAACUUAAAUUCUCUUAGUA